GAGUUUGAUCAUGGCUCAGAUUGAACGCUGGCGGCAGGCCUAACACAUGCAAGUCGAGCGGAAACGACUUAACUGAACCUUCGGGGGACGUUAAGGGCGUCGAGCGGCGGACGGGUGAGUAAUGCCUGGGAAAUUGCCCUGAUGUGGGGGAUAACCAUUGGAAACGAUGGCUAAUACCGCAUAAUGCCUUCGGGCCAAAGAGGGGGACCUUCGGGCCUCUCGCGUCAGGAUAUGCCCAGGUGGGAUUAGCUAGUUGGUGAGGUAAGGGCUCACCAAGGCGACGAUCCCUAGCUGGUCUGAGAGGAUGAUCAGCCACACUGGAACUGAGACACGGUCCAGACUCCUACGGGAGGCAGCAGUGGGGAAUAUUGCACAAUGGGCGCAAGCCUGAUGCAGCCAUGCCGCGUGUAUGAAGAAGGCCUUCGGGUUGUAAAGUACUUUCAGCAGUGAGGAAGGUGGAGUCGUUAAUAGCGGCCUCACUUGACGUUAGCUGCAGAAGAAGCACCGGCUAACUCCGUGCCAGCAGCCGCGGUAAUACGGAGGGUGCGAGCGUUAAUCGGAAUUACUGGGCGUAAAGCGCAUGCAGGUGGU
This 591-nucleotide ribosomal RNA is filed under the name Vibrio orientalis CIP 102891 = ATCC 33934. RNAcentral describes it as "bacterial SSU rRNA". It matches the Rfam family "Bacterial small subunit ribosomal RNA", at positions 9 to 579 of the family's 1533-position model. Lineage: Bacteria; Pseudomonadati; Pseudomonadota; Gammaproteobacteria; Vibrionales; Vibrionaceae. The record is from RNAcentral.